UAAUAAUAUUUUGCUGCUGACAUGAGUGCUAAUUGCUGCUGGAGAGCAUGCAGAAUUGACCAGAAUUCUGCUACAGCACUUUCAGUCUGAGAUGAUUACUACAUAGAUGUAUUCUAAAAUUUGGAUAAAAGAAACCUGCCAUAUCAUGGAAUUAUUAAAGAGAAUCUGAUUCCAGCAAAGCAGUUUACCCUCUGAGGCCCUCGCUGUCAGCUCCACGCUCAUACAUCCAUGCCCUGCUGUCGAGCCUGACAGCCGUCUAUUGUUCAUUCACUGCUUCCACCUCGCCACUUAAUAUUAUUGCGAUAAGGAAACCCUCGUGUCUCGACCCACUGGCGUCUGGCUAAUCCGAUGGUAUUUGUCGCCGCAUUGUCCGUGAUCAAUAACUAAUUAUCAAAGUGGCAUUUCUUUUCAAGAGCUCCUUGUUAAAAAAUGGCUUUUGGCUGAGAGUGGAGGAAAAAGGUCGCCACUUUGACAUCAUUGCAAGUCUUUCAAAAUCCAGUGGGCCGUCCGAUUGAAUUACUGUCCCAAACUAAUUGAUAUAAAUUUGAACAGAAGAAUGCUUGUUACUACAGAAUGUCAUAAUGAUAUCCUUGGCAAGAGCAUGUCAGUGGGAAAAAAAAAAGAGAAAAGACCAGCACUAGUCACAAAGCAUUGAGACAAGUUGCAGCACAAGACUAUUAACAAAAUUAAGAGGAACAAAACUGUACACCACUUCCUUCUUCCCAGCCAGUCUGAUCAGGCGUUCAAGAA
Molecule: long non-coding RNA, 750 nt
Organism: Pezoporus flaviventris
Lineage: Eukaryota; Metazoa; Chordata; Aves; Psittaciformes; Psittacidae
Exons: 4
Source: RefSeq, a predicted model, not a curated record